CACGGGACUAUAGGGAAGACCGCNUGGCGCGAAGUCAGAGGAAGGCGAGGGCAACGGUAGGUCAGUAUGCUCCGAAUGCUAUGGGCUACACGCGCAAUACAAAGGACGGGACAAUGGGCUGCAACUCCGAGAGGAAUGACGCUAUCCCGAAACCCGUUCGUAGUUCGGAUUGAGGGCUGUAACUCGCCCUCAUGAAGCUGGAUUAGGUAGUAAUCGCGUCUCAAAAAGGCGCGGUGAAUAUGCCCCUGCUCCUUGCACACACCGCCCGUAAAACCAUCUUAGUUGUGGGUGGGUGAGGCUGCCUCUCUUUCGAGAUGUGGUAUUCGAGCCUGCCUUCGACAAGGAGGGUUAAGUCGUAACAAGGUA
This 366-nucleotide ribosomal RNA is filed under the name uncultured archaeon. Its description in RNAcentral is "bacterial SSU rRNA". It matches the Rfam family "Archaeal small subunit ribosomal RNA", at positions 1086 to 1445 of the family's 1478-position model. The record is from RNAcentral.